UGCACAUCUGUAUUGAAGUACACAUAGUAACUAUAUCCUUACUUCCAACUGUCCUUAGGAUGUUUCCAAAACCUCACGUGCAGUGGCUGUUUUUGAAUCAAAAGAAAGGAAGAAGCUAAGGGAGUGGCAGCCGGCAAGAGUCCUGUAAGAAGGCCCACUUCCAUGGCGCUUUACUUGAAAGAUGAAUAUUCACAGCUAUGGCUUGGAAGGGAAGAGGCAGCCAAAAGGAAUCAUUAAGCUGAGCUAAAUGAGCAGAACUGAGAGGCAAGGCAGGAUCAAGAGGGAGAAGCAAACACUGUCAAGGCAGAGGUAGGCAGAUAUAUCACACAAAGGAUGUUCAGCAGGAUACCGUACUUUAGCACAUCAACCCAAACUGCAAAUCUGCAGCUGAUGUUGUACAACUUAAUACUCAAGCACACUACAAUUUAUCCUUUUACUUGGAGCCAACAAGAUGUGAGGCUUCCUUUCAGGGAAGAACUCUGAGCCUCAGGGAAACCCAAAUACCUUCCACCUCUGCAAGACUCCUUCUGUGGCCCAAUUAAAACUGCUGCUGCUGGGGGGUAAAGUGGUAACUUCUGAGCUGGCAUAGAUUUCUAUAGUAAAUGUAC
RNAcentral lists this long non-coding RNA (608 nucleotides) under Gallus gallus (chicken). Its description in RNAcentral is "long non-coding RNA NONGGAT008092". Lineage: Eukaryota; Metazoa; Chordata; Aves; Galliformes; Phasianidae. The record is from RNAcentral.